This is a long non-coding RNA of Pezoporus occidentalis (night parrot), 1276 nucleotides long. RefSeq lists it as uncharacterized. The transcript has 2 exons. The record is from RefSeq and is a predicted model, not a curated record. Lineage: Eukaryota; Metazoa; Chordata; Aves; Psittaciformes; Psittacidae.
ACCAGAGGGCAUAGCAGCGGAAGGGGGUAAUGUCUAACACACCAUAACAGCCAUGGUCGAAGCUCAUCUCUCAAAGCCCUCACUGACUUGCAGAUUGGCUUUGGUGCUCAAAACCUCCUCUGAGUUUUCCAGCUCUGCUAGCAGAUACAAUGAAAAAUACUCCCUCCUCCUACAACCCAUUGACCUGGCUGUGUCCUGAGACAUUGCAGCUACAGCAAAAUAUGCUGGAGACCUCGAUGUCUGGUUCUCUUCCAAGAGCAUUUCACCUCAGAUGCCUGGAAAACGCAUAGAUUUGAAUGAGGAGCUUAAAGGACAGUGAAACCCUCAUCACAGCAGACUCAGAGCAUCAGCUGCAGGGAGGGAGAGCAGUACAGCCCAGCUGCACAAUGAUCACACGCUGAUCUCUGCUGUGUUCUGCUGGAGAGCAUUUGCAAGUAAUUCAGAUGCUGGAGUGGCUUCUGUAUUGCAUCUUCUCAAGGGAGGAACCAGAUGAAAGAUGCACAUAUAGCCUCUGUUGUGCUCAUUGGGGUUCUUUAAGUUUGUGUUACUGAACCAUAAACCAGUUGAUCUAUACUUACUACUGUAGCUGGAGAAUUUGUCUCCAAGUUAUCUGUCUGCUCCCCAGGGAAGAAGGUGGAGUAUGUCUGAGCUACUUUUUCUGAUGAAGACAAAAAUCGUUGUUAUAGCCAACUUCAUCGGUUUACCCAUCGGUACCAUUUCUUGUUUGGGUCUUCCAUGCACUGGAGUCUACAUCUCUCUUACUUCAUGCUCCCUUUCUUAGCAAGUUAAAAUGAUAGGCAUUAGUAUUGCCUGGAGGAGAAAAGCCAGCCUGGCAGGCUUACAACUCACUCACUACUGUGUGUACUGCUAGAGAAACUACUGCCUAUCAGAUUGUGAACCAUCGCUUUUCUUUACAAAAUCCCUUCCCAGACUCCACUGAAUCACUCUGCCAUUGCUAAUUAAGUUCAUUGUAUUCCAUUUUCCCUGUGUUGAUGUGACAGGGUAUUUGUUUCGCAUUAAAUUCAGGUGAGACUUUGAGCUGACAUGUCGAAAAUCAAUAAGCAGCAGAAAUCAUCAGGGGAAGCCAAAAUGCUAGAGGCUGAACAAGCCUGUUGGGCUUCCUGGAUUCAGUCCCAUGGACACAGUCAUAUAUUCUGGAGUCGUGAACCUCACAGGGAAAUAAUGACAUACCAAGGGAUUGAAACAAAGCUAUGUAUAGCGUUUCUUACCCCUAUGGCCCGCUGAUGCACAUAAAUAAAUCAGGCAUUUUGCAUUA